CCAGAGAGAGAGAGCGAGAGAGAGCAGCACUAUUUUCACUCCUCUUACUGACUGAAGAAACGCACCGUGUGGUAGGCUACCCCGGCCAGCCGCGCUCACACACUAACAAAACGAUGCACCGCCGCCGCUUCGCACAGUCAAUGCCGCUGACCAGGUGUUGGACCAAAGAACAGGGCCGUCGUUAACGAGACAGAAGAUCAAACUUGUAUGUAUGUGCUGUGCGCCCUUCUCCCUGGUCCCGUACACAGACGAUCGAGAAGAUGCUGAGCAGACUGAUGAGCAGCAGCAUCAGGAGUCUGGACAGGGAAUGCAACUGCACUGUGAGGCUGCUGGACGAUUCGGAGUACACCUGCACGAUUCAGCCCUUCAGGAUAUUUACAGGCUUCUCACUGCCACAGAUCGCAAUACAAUCUCUUAAAGCCUCAAUCCAGGAUUGAUGCACUGUUUCUUCUGGCAGAGGGUUAAUUGGUGGGCAAGCAAGCAGAGGCCAAGUAUGUGGCAUGUGACUGUGUUGUUGAGAUUGUGGGCUGCUGUGGGGGAGACUAUGGAAAGUGCGCCGCCGUAGAAGCUUUGGGAAGACCUACACAGGCACUUGGAGGCCACAGGUCAGGAGAAACAGGCUCAGGAGAGAGAGGACCAGGAGCAGUGCUAUGUUUGGGGUUCAGAGUCUUGCUCAAGGACACAUCGACAUGUGGACAGAAGGAGCCAGGGAUUGACUCUACCUGCUGAGCCACAGCCGCUCGAUCAACAAACAAUUCCUUGAUUGAAUUUUGAUAAAAUGUAAUGUGACAAUCGAUAUUAUGACACAUCAUUAAAUAUUUCAUUCAUA
Molecule: long non-coding RNA, 829 nt
Organism: Micropterus dolomieu (smallmouth bass)
Lineage: Eukaryota; Metazoa; Chordata; Actinopteri; Centrarchiformes; Centrarchidae
Exons: 2
Source: RefSeq, a predicted model, not a curated record